AGCAGGUUUGAGUUGAGCGCAGCGAAACAACGGAGCCGCUCGCGGCGACGGCCCGAAGGGCUAGCGAAGCGAGUCAUCCUGCACGACCCACCA
RNAcentral lists this small RNA (93 nucleotides) under Escherichia coli. Its description in RNAcentral is "partial RtT sRNA". It matches the Rfam family "RtT RNA", at positions 35 to 130 of the family's 130-position model. From Rfam's summary of the family: This family represents a bacterial cis-regulatory element known as RtT RNA. The record is from RNAcentral. Lineage: Bacteria; Pseudomonadati; Pseudomonadota; Gammaproteobacteria; Enterobacterales; Enterobacteriaceae.